GCUGGUGGUUUGGCGCCGUGGGUACACCCGUUCUCAUUCCGAACACGGCAGUUAAGCACGGUUGCGCCGAUGGUACUUCUUCUGAGGGAGAGUAGGUAUCCGCCAGCU
RNAcentral lists this ribosomal RNA (108 nucleotides) under Candidatus Kaiserbacteria bacterium CG10_big_fil_rev_8_21_14_0_10_49_17. The record is from RNAcentral. Lineage: Bacteria; Candidatus Kaiseribacteriota.